This 369-nucleotide ribosomal RNA is filed under the name uncultured organism. Its description in RNAcentral is "bacterial SSU rRNA". It matches the Rfam family "Bacterial small subunit ribosomal RNA", at positions 526 to 896 of the family's 1533-position model. The record is from RNAcentral.
CGGAGGAUCCAAGCGUUAUCCGGAUUUAUUGGGUUUAAAGGGUGCGUAGGCGGAAUAGUAAGUCAGUGGUGAAAGCCUGCAGCCUAACUGUAGAAUUGCCAUUGAUACUGCUAAUCUUGAGUACAUAUGAAGUGGGCGGAAUGUGUCAUGUAGCGGUGAAAUGCUUAGAUAUGACACAGAACACCGAUUGCGAAGGCAGCUCACUAAACUGUAACUGACGCUGAGGCACGAAAGCAUGGGGAGCAAACAGGAUUAGAUACCCUGGUAGUCCAUGCCGUAAACUAUGAUUACUCGAUGUGUGCGAUACACUGUACGCGUCUAAGCGAAAGCGUUAAGUAAUCCACCUGGGAAGUACGACCGCAAAGGUUG